Long non-coding RNA from Leptopilina heterotoma, 322 nucleotides. RefSeq lists it as uncharacterized. The transcript is spliced from 3 exons. The record is from RefSeq and is a predicted model, not a curated record. NCBI's taxonomy places the organism in Eukaryota, Metazoa, Arthropoda, Insecta, Hymenoptera, Figitidae.
GUUGCGGUAAUUAUACCGAAACUCGCGCUUCUUGGAAAUAGUCGCCACCGUUUUUCCAUCUUCCUCUAUAGCCCCCGAUUCACUGCCAAUUUGGGAAAUUUAAAGAAACAAAAAAUGAUAAAUGAAAAUAUGGCUUCGUGGUAAAGAGCACUUCACUGGCCAUGGAAAGUCGAUGUUGGGGUUCGAUUCCCACAAAGUGGAAAGAAAAAAGUUUGAGAAAAUUAUAGAAAAGAAAAUCUGAAAAGACUGAACAACAAAUUUUCAUCAAAUUAUAAAAUGUUAAUUUCAGAGACGAGCGUUUCUUAUGAAGAAUGGGUGUUUG